GACGAACGCUGGCGGCGUGCCUAACACAUGCAAGUCGAGCGAGUGAAUCUCCUUCGGGAGUGAAGCUAGCGGCGGACGGGUGAGUAACACGUGGGCAACCUGCCUCAUAGAGGGGAAUAGCCUUUCGAAAGGAAGAUUAAUACCGCAUAAGAUUGUAGCUUCGCAUGAAGUAGCAAUUAAAGGAGCAAUCCGCUAUGAGAUGGGCCCGCGGCGCAUUAGCUAGUUGGUGAGGUAACGGCUCACCAAGGCGACGAUGCGUAGCCGACCUGAGAGGGUGAUCGGCCACAUUGGGACUGAGACACGGCCCAGACUCCUACGGGGGCAGCAAUUAGGAAUCUUGCGCAAUGGGGGAAACCCUGACGCAGCGACGCCGCGUGAGCGAUGAAGUCUUUCGGGAUGUAAAGCUCUGUCCUGUGGGGAAGAAGAAUGUGACGGUACCCACAGAGAAAGCCCCGGCUAACUACGUGCCAGCAGCCGCGGUAA
This 483-nucleotide ribosomal RNA is filed under the name uncultured bacterium. RNAcentral describes it as "bacterial SSU rRNA". It matches the Rfam family "Bacterial small subunit ribosomal RNA", at positions 28 to 523 of the family's 1533-position model. The record is from RNAcentral.